GAGAGUGAAUGCUCAGCUGUGAUGACAUGCUUCAAACCUACAUGGGAGAUAGAGCUAUCAUUCACAUGUCUCAUCAGACAAGUUGUAAUAUGCUCCCUAAUGACACCUCAUUACCUGUAUGCACGUAGCUUCCAAAGAGAACAUUAGAUUGAAGGACUGAUACUAUGAAAUAUUAUGCAUGUUGUCCUGAAAGCUGUUGCACUUCUGGGGAGCUACCCAAAAGGAACCAGAGUUAGAAUAUGGCAGGAACCAAGUACACUCAAGCAGGAAGACACCUACUCAGGACACACCCAGGUAGAAUACGAGGAAGAUGCUGCUGUCAGCUAUGACCAAUCCCCUGGUUCAAAGCGCCCAGAGGAACUGAUCUCAUUGGCUAACCCUCGGUCAGCUUAUAUGUAGCUACAUAGUUAGAGGACACAUCCUUGUAGCAACUUUUGCUAACUGUCCUUCAGGAUCUAUUCUUUUCUUUUGAAUUCAAUGAGCAUAGUCCAUUUAACCAGAGACUCCAUGUCUCAGCCUCCCUUCCAGCGAGGAAUUGGCGAGGGCCAGUGAAAUAUGUGAAGUAUGUGGUUCAUCUUUAAGGUCAUGUAUUUAAAGACCAAUCCACUUGCCUAAACUUCCUGCCAGAGGUAGGUGGUCAAAGCUCAUGGCUGGGACAGCUGUUCUUACAUAAGAAUGAAAUAAAGUUCUCUUUUGAGACA
Long non-coding RNA from Eptesicus fuscus (big brown bat), 701 nucleotides. RefSeq lists it as uncharacterized. The record is from RefSeq and is a predicted model, not a curated record. The transcript is spliced from 2 exons. Lineage: Eukaryota; Metazoa; Chordata; Mammalia; Chiroptera; Vespertilionidae.